This is a long non-coding RNA of Eptesicus fuscus (big brown bat), 329 nucleotides long. RefSeq lists it as uncharacterized. The transcript is spliced from 3 exons. The record is from RefSeq and is a predicted model, not a curated record. NCBI's taxonomy places the organism in Eukaryota, Metazoa, Chordata, Mammalia, Chiroptera, Vespertilionidae.
CGGGGCCCGGUCGCUUAUUUCGCUUAUGUGGGUCCUCGUUUUCCUUCUGAAGACUCCCGUAAAGAACCUGCCUCACUGACCCAGGGCCAUGGCAGACAGAGGCAUCGGAUGGCAUUUGUUUAAAUAUCGACUCAGAAGAGUCGCACGCCAGGCUCUGUCCCAGGCACAAAGCUCCACUUCCAAUAAGGGCUAGCCAAUGAGAUGAAAACAGUGUCGAGGAGCAGAGCCGGGGAGCAGGAGCCUGAGGUAUUCGGAUGACUUUGGGGAACAGCUCAAUCCCUGAGCCCUGACUACCUGCCUCUGCCUCUUGCCUGAGGGGAGAAAUAAAA